GUAGGUGGCAAGCGUUGUCCGGAAUUAUUGGGCGUAAAGCGCGCGCAGGCGGUUCUUUAAGUCUGAUGUGAAAGCCCACGGCUCAACCGUGGAGGGUCAUUGGAAACUGGAGAACUUGAGUACAGAAGAGGAAAGCGGAAUUCCACGUGUAGCGGUGAAAUGCGUAGAGAUGUGGAGGAACACCAGUGGCGAAGGCGGCUUUCUGGUCUGUAACUGACGCUGAGGCGCGAAAGCGUGGGGGGAGCAAACAGGAUUAGAUACCCUGGUAGUCCACGCCGUAAACGAUGAGUGCUAAGUGUUAGGGGGUUUCCGCCCCGUUAGUGCUGCAGCUAACGCAUUAAGCACUCCGCCUGGGAGUACGGCCGCAAGGCUG
RNAcentral lists this ribosomal RNA (373 nucleotides) under uncultured organism. RNAcentral describes it as "partial 16S ribosomal RNA". It matches the Rfam family "Bacterial small subunit ribosomal RNA", at positions 527 to 896 of the family's 1533-position model. The record is from RNAcentral.